AACGAACGCUGGCGGCAUGCCUAACACAUGCAAGUCGAACGAUUGCCUUCGGGUGAUAGUGGCGCACGGGUGCGUAACGCGUGGGAAUCUGCCCUUAGGUUCGGAAUAACAGCUGGAAACGGCUGCUAAUACCGGAUGAUAUCGCGAGAUCAAAGAUUUAUCGCCUGAGGAUGAGCCCGCGUUGGAUUAGGUAGUUGGUGGGGUAAAGGCCUACCAAGCCGACGAUCCAUAGCUGGUCUGAGAGGAUGAUCAGCCACACUGGGACUGAGACACGGCCCAGACUCCUACGGGAGGCAGCAGUGGGGAAUAUUGGACAAUGGGCGCAAGCCUGAUCCAGCAAUGCCGCGUGAGUGAUGAAGGCCCUAGGGUUGUAAAGCUCUUUUACCCGGGAAGAUAAUGACUGUACCGGAGAAUAAGCCCCGGCUAACUCCGUG
RNAcentral lists this ribosomal RNA (434 nucleotides) under uncultured bacterium. RNAcentral describes it as "partial 16S ribosomal RNA". It matches the Rfam family "Bacterial small subunit ribosomal RNA", at positions 29 to 507 of the family's 1533-position model. The record is from RNAcentral.